UUCGGCCUACGGGGGGCAGCAGUGGGGGAUAUUGCACAAUGGGGGAAACCCUGAUGCAGCGACGCCGCGUGGGUGAAGAAGCGCCUCGGCGCGUAAAGCCCUGUCAGCAGGGAAGAAAAUGACGGUACCUGAAGAAGAAGCCACGGCUAACUACGUGCCAGCAGCCGCGGUAAUACGUAGGUGGCGAGCGUUAUCCGGAAUGAUUGGGCGUAAAGGGUGCGCAGGCGGUCCUGCAAGUCUGGAGUGAAACGCAUGAGCUCAACCUAUGCAUGGCUUUGGAA
Molecule: ribosomal RNA, 281 nt
Filed under: uncultured bacterium
Lineage: Bacteria
Description: partial 16S ribosomal RNA
Rfam family: Bacterial small subunit ribosomal RNA
Source: RNAcentral